GAGAGACGCUGGCGGCGUGCCUAACACAUGCAAGUCGAACGGGGGUAUUUAUUUCGAUGAAUACCUUAGUGGCGAACGGGUGAGUAACGCGUGAGCAACCUAUCCUUAAGAGGGGGAUAACAUCUGGAAACAGAUGCUAAUACCGCAUAAGACCACACUGCCGCAUGGCAGAGGGGUCAAAGGAGCAAUCCGUUUAAGGAGGGGCUCGCGUCCCAUUAGAUAGUUGGUGAGGUAACAGCUCACCAAGUCAGCGAUGGGUAGCCGAGCUGAGAGGCUGAUCGGCCACACUGGAACUGAGACACGGUCCAGACUCCUACGGGAGGCAGCAGUGGGGAAUAUUGGGCAAUGGGGGGAACCCUGACCCAGCAACGCCGCGUGAGGGAAGAAGGCCUUCGGGUUGUAAACCUCUGUCAUUAGGGAAGAAGAAAGUGACGGUACCUAAUGAGGAAGCCCCGGCUAACUACGUG
Molecule: ribosomal RNA, 467 nt
Filed under: uncultured bacterium
Lineage: Bacteria
Description: bacterial SSU rRNA
Rfam family: Bacterial small subunit ribosomal RNA
Source: RNAcentral